CUGCAGCCAAUGAAGCCAACCAGGUUCCUUUCCCCAUGGGGGUCUAGUGUGCAAUAGUUGCAAACACUAUCCUCCUUGGUGGCAUAUGCAGCUUAUUGAAUGCGCAGGCUGCCCAAAGGGACCUUGGAGACAGUU
Cricetulus griseus (Chinese hamster) is the source of this 135-nucleotide small nucleolar RNA. Its record names the gene SNORA70. It matches the Rfam family "Small nucleolar RNA SNORA70". Rfam says of the family: snoRNA U70 seems to be exclusive to mammals and is a member of the H/ACA class of snoRNA which contain H (ANANNA) and ACA box motifs. H/ACA box snoRNAs are involved in the conversion of uridines to pseudouridines (5-ribosyluracil) a constituent of structural RNAs (transfer, ribosomal, small nuclear, and small nucleolar). Lineage: Eukaryota; Metazoa; Chordata; Mammalia; Rodentia; Cricetidae. The record is from Ensembl.